Pelodiscus sinensis (Chinese soft-shelled turtle) is the source of this 1155-nucleotide non-coding RNA. Lineage: Eukaryota; Metazoa; Chordata; Testudines; Trionychidae. The record is from RefSeq and is a predicted model, not a curated record.
CACAUAUCCGCUGAGUCUCGAGGUUCAGCUGACCCCCCACCUCCUUGCGUUCAGGGCUCCCUCGUGGGAGAGCCCUGGUGCAGCUGGGAUCAGCUCAAGUCUCAGACCUAUGCAGCAGCAUUCAUUCUUCACUCAUUACAUUCAUACUCAUUUUCCAUACAAUUUAUUUUUUUCCUUUUUCACAUUUUUCCUACAGUUUCCACAUUUAGAUGCAUCUUUAUUUAUUGUCCAGUUCCCAUGGGUUUCUAUUAAGUGACGCUGCCCUAAGACACCCGGCACUUAAUAUCAGAUUUCAUUAGGACUCUAUACCAGAAGGCACUUAUCAUAAAGGCACUGGAAUUCCUGUAGACUGACCUACCCCCAUUUUCUGCGCGCGCUUAAUUCUGUAAGGCACCGAACUAAAGUCCGCCUGCUUACACCAUAUUCUGCAAGUCACCGAAUCAGGAUCCGCCUGCUCGCUCUGCGAGUCACCGAAUCAGGAUCCGCCUGCUUGCUCUGUGAGUCACUGAAUCAGGAUCCGCCUGCUCGCUCUGCGAGUCACCGAAUCAAGAAUUCACCUGCUCGCAUUGGUCCCCCCCCUUUUUGUUGCGAGGCACUGGAUUCAAGGUCCACCUGGCUCGCAGGGGUUUCCGGCACCUGCCCCAGCCCGGCAGAACACCACGUCCUGGCGCCUGGAGACAGCCUGGCGGAAUGGGGCACUAUGGCCUGGGGUUAGCCUCAGAGGUCAGUACUACGCCCACAAAUAACAGAGAGAGACAACAAAGCUUCCCCACAGUUCCGUGUGCCGAGAGAGAGUAAUGGCACCACACCAGCUUUUAGCGUCCGAACACAGAGGGUCCAGCGCAUGGCUGCCUCACUAGAGACACCGGUGUGCCCUUUUGGAACUGUGACACAUAAGACAGGCCUAAUAGACAAAGACAGACACAGACAGACAAAAAUGUUAGCCGCUCCACAAAAUUGAAUUCCGUAGCUCCCCUUACCCUGAUGGCUGGCUGUCACUCCAAAUCCUAAGCCCUCAACAGGAGAUUUCGUAACAGGUAUCUCCUUACCUUUUAUUGAGCGCUCUGAGAGGUUUGGAAGUGGAGUGCCGGUCCAUCCAUACGGGCAAGUGGCGCGUUAGGAAUCUCGGUGGAACCUCCAAAUUGUCGAAGCAAA